This 239-nucleotide ribosomal RNA is filed under the name uncultured soil bacterium. RNAcentral's name for it is "partial 16S ribosomal RNA". It matches the Rfam family "Bacterial small subunit ribosomal RNA", at positions 26 to 257 of the family's 1533-position model. The record is from RNAcentral.
AGAGUGAACGCUGGCGGUAGGCCUAACACAUGCAAGUCGAACGGCAGCACGGUAAGAGCUUGCUCUUAUGGGUGGCGAGUGGCGGACGGGUGAGGAAUACAUCGGAAUCUACCUUUUGGUGGGGGAUAACGUAGGGAAACUUACGCUAAUACCGCAUACGCCCUUCGGGGGAAAGCCGGGGACCAGCAAUGGCCUGGCGCUGAUAGAUGAGCCGAUGUCGGAUUAGCUAGUUGGUGAGG